AACUUUGCACAGUGAAAGUACUGAAACCAAUGAGGUAUAUCCGAGGUGCAAUUUUUGAUAGUUGAAAACUUUUAACAUAUAAACGAUAAGUUUGUUUUUUUCUAAUGUUACUGGUAUGCCGUUUUCUUUUUUAAAUUUUGCGGC
This is a non-coding RNA of Procambarus clarkii (red swamp crayfish), 144 nucleotides long. The record is from RefSeq and is a predicted model, not a curated record. Lineage: Eukaryota; Metazoa; Arthropoda; Malacostraca; Decapoda; Cambaridae.